RNAcentral lists this ribosomal RNA (286 nucleotides) under uncultured bacterium. RNAcentral describes it as "partial 16S ribosomal RNA". It matches the Rfam family "Bacterial small subunit ribosomal RNA", at positions 333 to 611 of the family's 1533-position model. The record is from RNAcentral.
CUAGUCCUACGGGGCGCAGCAGUGGGGAAUAUUGCGCAAUGGGCGAAAGCCUGACGCAGCGACGCCGCGUGAGGGAUGAAGGUCUUCGGAUCGUAAACCUCUGUCAGCAGGGAAGAACGGUCACUGUGCUAAUCAGCAGUGAAUUGACGGUACCUGCAAAGGAAGCACCGGCUAACUCCGUGCCAGCAGCCGCGGUAAUACGGAGGAUGCGAGCGUUAUCCGGAUUUAUUGGGUUUAACGGGUGCGUAGGCGGUCGGAUAAGUUAGUGGUGAAAUCCCGAGGCUCA